GUGAGGAAUCUUGCGCAAUGGGGGCAACCCUGACGCAGCCACGCCGCGUGCUGGAAGACGGCCCUAUGGGUUGUAAACAGCUUUUGGUCGGGAAGAACCCCGGAGUUUCGACUCCGGCUGACGGUACCGAUUGAAUAAGCACCGGCUAACUCCGUGCCAGCAGCCGCGGUAAUACGGAGGGUGCAAGCGUUGUCCGGAAUUAUUGGGUGUAAAGGGUGUGCAGGCGGAAGUCUAAGUCGGAGGUGAAAUCUUGCCGCUUAACGGUAAAAGGGCCUUCGAAACUGGAUUUCUUGAGUUCGGAAGAGGUUGGUGGAAUUCGGGGUGUAGCGGUGAAAUGCAUAGAUAUCACGAAGAACACCGGUAGCGAAGGCGGCCAACUGGUCCGAUACUGACGCUGAGACACGAAAGCGUGGGGAGCGAACAGGAUUAGAUACCCUGGUAGUCCACGCUGUAAACGAUGCAUGCUAGUUGUUGUCCCCUUGGGGGCAGUGACGCAGUUAACGCAGUAAGCAUGCCACCUG
RNAcentral lists this ribosomal RNA (521 nucleotides) under uncultured Fodinibius sp. RNAcentral describes it as "bacterial SSU rRNA". It matches the Rfam family "Bacterial small subunit ribosomal RNA", at positions 354 to 875 of the family's 1533-position model. The record is from RNAcentral. Lineage: Bacteria; Pseudomonadati; Balneolota; Balneolia; Balneolales; Balneolaceae.